This 713-nucleotide long non-coding RNA is filed under the name Ananas comosus (pineapple). Its description in RNAcentral is "long non-coding RNA (ACOM_LNC005964)". The record is from RNAcentral. Lineage: Eukaryota; Viridiplantae; Streptophyta; Magnoliopsida; Poales; Bromeliaceae.
AUUGUUUCCCGUUUGAGAACUCAAACGUAAAUUUUCGUACUCGAAAACAGCAAUUCUCAUAUCUUUGAAAUAAGUUGGUAUAAUUCGGUACAAGUCUGAAACUGUUGUUCCAUUUUUUUUUCUGGAACAAGCUUAUUUCUAAGUAAGAAUAAAAUUAAUUAAAGUCUAAAUUUAAUUUUAAUUAUGGUAUUGAAUCAUUACCUAAUCUAAUUAAUACAUUUACAUUAUUAUCGAUUGCUUAAAUAAUAAAGUAAUUAAUUAAUUUAUUACUUAUAAUUAAUUAGCUAAUUAAUUAUUAAUAAUUUAACGUGUUUAUCCAUAAACUAAUAUUUAUAUUGAUCAACCAUUAAUAUUUUUAUUAAUCUAAUUAAUUUUUUUAUUAGUUAUUUAACUAAAAUAAUUUACUAACUAAUUAAAAAAUUAAAAUAUUUUUUAUAUUUAAUUGAUUAACUAAUAUAUUUUCAUUAUCUUAUACAACAUUAAUAACUAUUAAAUUUAUUAAUUUAUUAAAUUAUUUUUAAUUAAUAUUUUGAUAUUAAUUAAUUAGAUAAAAUAUUUUUAAUUUAAAAUUACAACUCUUAUUCCUUUUAUUUAAUCUAACCAGCAAACACUAUUUAUCUUGUUCUCGGGAACAAGCUAAUUUUCUUUUAAAUACAAAAUUAAUCUAUUUCUAAAAUAAACGGUUCUUAUUUAUACACGAACCAAACUCUGCC